UACGGAGGGUGCAAACGUUGCUCGGAAUUAUUGGGCGUAAAGCGUACGUAGGCGGUCCAGCAAGUCGGGUGUGAAAGCCCUUGGCUUAACCAAGGAAGUGCAUUCGAAACUACUGGACUUGAAUACUGGAGAGGAUCGCGGAAUUCCCGGUGUAGAGGUGAAAUUCGUAGAUAUCGGGAGGAACACCAGUGGCGAAGGCGGCGAUCUGGACAGAUAUUGACGCUGAUGUACGAAAGCGUGGGGAGCGAACAGG
This 253-nucleotide ribosomal RNA is filed under the name uncultured bacterium. RNAcentral's name for it is "partial 16S ribosomal RNA". It matches the Rfam family "Bacterial small subunit ribosomal RNA", at positions 524 to 776 of the family's 1533-position model. The record is from RNAcentral.